This 24-nucleotide non-coding RNA is filed under the name Arabidopsis thaliana (thale cress). The record is from RNAcentral. Lineage: Eukaryota; Viridiplantae; Streptophyta; Magnoliopsida; Brassicales; Brassicaceae.
CUGAGGGCUGGGCUCGGGGGUCCC